CAUGGUUUCUUGAAAUUUUUAAGAAAUUUGACCUGCCCACUGAAUAAAUAAUUUGAAGGGCCGCAGUAUUUUGACUGUGCAAAGGUAGCAUAAUCAUUAGUCUUUUAAUUAAGGGCUAGUAUGAAUGGUUGGACGAGGUGAAUUCUGUUUUAUGUUAAUUUAGAUUGAACUUAGGUUUUAAGUAAAAAAUCUUAAAUGUUAUUAAGGGACGAGAAGACCCUAUAGAGUUUAAUAUAUGUAAUAAUAUAAUUGAGUUAAAAUUUAAUUUUUGAUUAUUAUGAAAUUUAUUUAAUUGGGGUGAUUAAGAGAUAAGUAAAACUCUUUUUAAACUUUAAUAGUAUAAUUAGAUGUAUGAUCCAUAAUUAAUGAUUAAGAGAUUAAAUUACCUUAGGGAUAACAGCAUAAUUCUUUUUGAGAGUUCAUAUUGAAAAAAGAGAUUGUGACCUCGAUGUUGGAUUAAGAUUAGUUUUGGGUGCAGAUGUUCAAUAACUAGGUCUGUUCGACCUUGAAAAUCUUACAUGA
Molecule: ribosomal RNA, 522 nt
Filed under: Vates pectinacornis
Lineage: Eukaryota; Metazoa; Arthropoda; Insecta; Mantodea; Mantidae
Description: partial 16S ribosomal RNA
Rfam family: Bacterial large subunit ribosomal RNA
Source: RNAcentral